GUUGAGGUUCUUGCCAGCAGAGCCAUCUGUCAAGAGAUUACAGAGAAGGAAAUUUCUGCAGGAAUCUUCCCCUGGGACCAGAUAAAGUGCCAAGAAAAGGUGUGUGGCAUCAGGAGUGAGGACAAACUCUGAGAGUCCUCUGCAGUGCUUAUCACAGACAGAGAGGAAACCAUCCACCCACUGGUACUCAAGGAAGAGGAAGAGAAGAGAGGGAAGUCUCUGGAUUGCUUUUGACCAGAGAAGUGAGGCUGGAUUGAAAAGAGCUGACAAGAGCAAAUUCCUUAUAAGGGGCAGGUUCUGUGCUGGCCAAGUACCUGAGAAGGAUCUGAAGAGGACAAUGAUGGCCUACAGAGGGUCAAUCCAGACCAUUGUGAACGCUCUGUCAGCAGACAUGCUGGGCAACUGCCAGGUGUUUGAGGAGACCCUGACUGGAGAAGGCCAUGGCUUACCCAUGAGAAACGAUAAACUCUCUCUUGUGGUUGAUAUUUAUGGGAAUGCAAGCUGACAGACACAUGAAUUGCACUUUGGAAGAACUUCCUCCAACCUCAAUCACUUUUAAUCAAGCUGUUCCUGAUGGAAGAUACAUCUCAAAUAAGCAAAGUGCUCAUGGUAUAAAAUUAUUGAUAUGAACUGUAAAUGAAAACAAAGCUACUUGGUCCGUUAAAAUGUUCUCUUUCAUGCUGAUUUAUUGCAGAAAAAUAAUAAAUUGCAGCCUCUUCUUUUUCCUCUGACAUAUUUGGGAUACUUUACAUGACUUUGAAAUGGCUUAAUUAUUUUACUACCCACUGUAGAAUAUUCUAAGGAGGGGAAGAAAAACAUGUAUUUACUUUCCUGUGGCCAUUUCUUACUGUCUGAUCCAGUGCUUGGGAAUACCAAAGAUAUUGUUUAAUGGGAAAGAAAAAAAUAAAUCAAAGGUAUCAAAAAUUAUAUUAGAAGUUACUUGAUAAGCGGUAAUCAAUCCAUUCACCACGUGGUCUGUAGUAUAAAGACACUGCAAGUUCUCUGAUACCCACAUCUGCUAAUCAAGUUACCAGUAAAGGGGCUGUAGAUAAGGAUGCUCCUGAAAUUGACCAUAAGUUCUAGUUACUAUUUAAAAAGCACUAGAAAGAUGUAGUCUUUUCCACCACAUUCACACAAAGAAGUUUCUUUAUACCCUCACUAUUUCUUUCUUGGGAUAACCUCUUUUGUUCUAUCAGAUUGUACAGAUUGAAUUUGCUGUGAAAUUAUGUUUUCUGCUAGCUAUGAAAGAACAAGAAUUUCAGUAUACCACUGACAAAGCCAUCAUAUUCUUUUAUUUAUUAUGUAUAAAGCAUCUAUUAUGAUUUAGACACUUACAAAAGCUAGCAUUUAUUAAAACAUUUCAUAUAUUUAAAUAUGUUUGGUUUCAAAGAUAAACUAUAUUAUAUCUUGUUUGUUUGAAUAAAAUGUUUGUCUCACUUUUCAGC
RNAcentral lists this long non-coding RNA (1445 nucleotides) under Macaca mulatta (Rhesus monkey). Its description in RNAcentral is "lncRNA (ENSMMUG00000061786.1)". The record is from RNAcentral. Lineage: Eukaryota; Metazoa; Chordata; Mammalia; Primates; Cercopithecidae.